UACGUAGGGUGCGAGCGUUGUCCGGAAUUAUUGGGCGUAAAGAGCUCGUAGGCGGUUUGUCACGUCUGCUGUGAAAUCCCGAGGCUCAACCUCGGGCCUGCAGUGGGUACGGGCAGACUGGAGUGCGGUAGGGGAGAAUGGAAUUCCUGGUGUAGCGGUGGAAUGCGCAGAUAUCAGGAGGAACACCGGUGGCGAAGGCGGGUCUCUGGGCAACAACUGACGCUGAGGAGCGAAAGCGUGGGGAGCAAACGGG
RNAcentral lists this ribosomal RNA (253 nucleotides) under uncultured bacterium. RNAcentral describes it as "partial 16S ribosomal RNA". It matches the Rfam family "Bacterial small subunit ribosomal RNA", at positions 524 to 776 of the family's 1533-position model. The record is from RNAcentral.